Molecule: long non-coding RNA, 1686 nt
Filed under: Anser cygnoides (Swan goose)
Lineage: Eukaryota; Metazoa; Chordata; Aves; Anseriformes; Anatidae
Description: lncRNA (ENSACDG00005008834.1)
Source: RNAcentral
UCUGCACCGUGCAUGCAGGUGGGGCGGCGCGGAUCUGCACGGUGCAUGCAGGCGGUGCUGCGGGGCUGCAGGGUGCAUGCAUCGGGGCUGCAGGGCUGCAAGGUGCAUGCAGCGGUGCUGCGGGGCUGCAGGGUGCAUGCAUCGGGGCUGCAAGGUGCAUGCAUUGGUGCUGUGCACGUCUGCAUCGUGCGUGCAUCGGGGCUGCAAGGUGCAUGCACUUGCAUCAGGGCUGCAGAGCUGCAAGGUGCGUGCAUUGGUGCCGUGCACGUCUGCAUCGUGCACGCAUCAGGGCUGCAGAGCUGCAAGGUGCGUGCACUGGUGCCGUGCACGUCUGCAUCGUGCACGCAUCAGGGCUGCAGAUCUGCACUGUGCAUGCUCUGGUGCUGCAAAUACGCAGGGUGCGUGCACUGGUGCCGUGCACGUCUGCAUCGUGUGUGCAUCGCGGCUGCACGGUGUGUGCACUGGUGCUGUGCACGUCUGCAUCGUGUGCAUUGGUGCUGUGCAGACCUGCACUGUGUGUGCUCUGGUGCUGCAAAUACGCAAGGUGUGUUCGCUGGUGCUGUGCAGACCUGCGCUGUGCGUGCAUCAGGGCUGCAAGGUGCAUGCUUUGGUGCCGUGCACGUGUGCAUCGUGUGUGCAUCGGGGCUGCAAGGUGCGUGCAGUGGUGCCGUGCACGUCUGCACUGUGCGUGCAUCAGGGCUGCAGAGCUGCAAAGGUGCAUGCUUUGGUGCCGUGCACACCUGCACUGUGCGUGCUUUGGUGCUGCAAACAUGCAACGUGUGUGCACUGGUGCUGUGCAGACCUGCGCUGUGCGUGCAUCGGGGCUGCAAGAGCUGCAAAGGCGCGUGCACGCACCGGCGCCGUGCAAAUCGGCCUCUUGCGUGCGUGUGUGGUGCUGUGCAACUCUGCAAGGUGCGUGCACGCAUCGGUGCGGUGCAAAUCUGCGCCGUGCAUGCACACACGUGGUCCUGUGCAAGGCUGCACCGUGCACGCAGAUCUGCAUCGGGCACGCGCGCAUUGGUGCUGUGCAAAAUCUGCACUGUGCAUGCAUGCACGUGGUGCUGAGCACAUCCGCUGCUUGCACACACGUGGUGCUGUGCACAACUGCGCUGUGCAGGGGGUGCUGAGCACAUCCGCUCCUUGCACACACGUGGUGCUGUGCAUGUCCCUGUGGUGCUUGCAUGUGUGGUGCUGUGCACACCUGCACCGUGCACACACCUGGUGCUGUGCACACCCCCGUGGUGCUUGCACGCGCGGUCCCGUGCACACCCACCCCGUGCACGCCCGUGUGCCCCCCCGGUGUUUGCACACACGCGCUCCCCCGCUUGCUUGCGCCACGUGUGCGCAUGCACGGCCCCAUGCACACCCCCCCCGCUGCACACACGCCCCCCCGCCUGCAUGCUCCCUGCACGCCCCUUGCACACCCAUUGCACGCUCAUUGCACACCCGUUGCACGCUCAUUGCGCGCCCGUUGCACACCCAUUGCAUGCCUGUUGCAUGCCCGUUGCAUGCCCAAUGCACGCCCAAUGCAUGCCCCCUGCACGCCCGUUGCACGCCCGUUUGCACACCCAUUUGCACGCCCCUUGCACGCCCGCCUACCCUGGCAGUGGCUGCUGUUGAGGCGCUUGUAGCCCUGGGGGCAGUCCCCCCCGUGCUCCCCCCGCACGGCGCCCGUCUUCUGCACCC